This 72-nucleotide transfer RNA is filed under the name Spirochaetaceae bacterium 4572_7. RNAcentral's name for it is "tRNA-Arg". It matches the Rfam family "tRNA". Rfam says of the family: Transfer RNA (tRNA) molecules are approximately 80 nucleotides in length. Their secondary structure includes four short double-helical elements and three loops (D, anti-codon, and T loops). The record is from RNAcentral. Lineage: Bacteria; Pseudomonadati; Spirochaetota; Spirochaetia; Spirochaetales; Spirochaetaceae.
GGCCCGGUCGUUCAAUGGAUAGGACACAGCUUUGCGAAAGCUGGAAUCCAGGUUCGAUCCCUGGUCGGGCCA